CCUACGGGAUGCACCAGUGGGGAAUAUUGCACAAUGGGCGCAAGCCUGAUGCAGCCAUGCCGCGUGUAUGAAGAAGGCCUUCGAGUUGUAAAGUACUUUCAGCGGGGAGGAAGGCGAUAAGGUUAAUAACCUCAUCGAUUGACGUUACCCGCAGAAGAAGCACCGGCUAACUCUGUGCCAGCAGCCGCGGUAAUACGGAGGGUGCAAGCGUUAAUCGGAAUUACUGGGCGUAAAGCGCACGCAGGCGGUCUGUCAAGUCGGAUGUGAAAUCCCCGGGCUCAACCUGGGAACUGCAUUCGAAACUGGCAGGCUAGAGUCUUGUAGAGGGGGGUAGAAUUCCAGGUGUAGCGGUGAAAUGCGUAGAGAUCUGGAGGAAUACCGGUGGCGAAGGCGGCCCCCUGGACAAAGACUGACGCUCAGGUGCGAAAGCGUGGGGAGCCAACAGGAUUAGAUACCCGUGUAGUC
Molecule: ribosomal RNA, 465 nt
Filed under: uncultured bacterium
Lineage: Bacteria
Description: bacterial SSU rRNA
Rfam family: Bacterial small subunit ribosomal RNA
Source: RNAcentral